RNAcentral lists this ribosomal RNA (497 nucleotides) under uncultured bacterium. RNAcentral's name for it is "partial 16S ribosomal RNA". It matches the Rfam family "Bacterial small subunit ribosomal RNA", at positions 28 to 507 of the family's 1533-position model. The record is from RNAcentral.
GAUGAACGCUGGCGGCGUGCCUAAUACAUGCAAGUCGAGCGAACAGACGAGGAGCUUGCUCCUCUGACGUUAGCGGCGGACGGGUGAGUAACACGUGGAUAACCUACCUAUAAGACUGGGAUAACUUCGGGAAACCGGAGCUAAUACCGGAUAAUAUAUUGAACCGCAUGGUUCAAUAGUGAAAGACGGUUUUGCUGUCACUUAUAGAUGGAUCCGCGCCGCAUUAGCUAGUUGGUAAGGUAACGGCUUACCAAGGCAACGAUGCGUAGCCGACCUGAGAGGGGGAUAGGCCACACUGGAACUGAGACACGGUCCAGACUCCUACGGUAGGCAGCAGUAGGGAAUCGUCCGCAAUGGGCGAAAGCCUGACGGAGCAACGCCGCGUGAGUGAUGAAGGUCUUCGGAUCGUAAAACUCUGUUAUUAGGGAAGAACAAAUGUGUAAGUAACCAUGCACGUCUUGACGGUACCUAAUCAGAAAGCCACGGCUAACUACGUG